Molecule: long non-coding RNA, 466 nt
Organism: Daphnia magna
Lineage: Eukaryota; Metazoa; Arthropoda; Branchiopoda; Diplostraca; Daphniidae
Exons: 4
Source: RefSeq, a predicted model, not a curated record
UCGUCAAUUGAGUAUAAAAAUGACGAUCAAUCGGGAUAGGAUCAUCAUCGAGUUCUGUUGCUCAGUCUGAUAUUAGCUAGUCAAGCAUUUUCUACACGACUAUACUUUUCCACCAUGCGUUUCUUCGUUUCAAUGGUUCUUCUUGUCGCCCUUUGCGUGGUCUACUUGCCAGGAGCCUUUUCGACGCCCGUAGAAUAUGAAGAGAAAGCUGUAAUGUUCGAUCGGGACACGCUGGAGUCGCUGCAAGAAGAAAUUGAUAAAACCCCAUGUGAUUAUAAAAAAUUCAACUUGUGCACUAAAGGAUGUUUCCCGAAAAUCCCGUUGCCUGAUUGCAUCAAGAAAUGUUUGAAACAAUGCUGAACAGCCUCGAACGUUGAACGAACUCGUGACCAGCAAUUACGGACCCAGACAAAUUGGUUUUUCUUUCUUUAAUUUUUCGAUUGGCUAAUACACAUACUAGACUGCA